Molecule: long non-coding RNA, 1499 nt
Filed under: Homo sapiens (human)
Lineage: Eukaryota; Metazoa; Chordata; Mammalia; Primates; Hominidae
Description: HSALNT0106399
Source: RNAcentral
AAUAGAUUUUAAGCCAUUUCCCAAUUGUUACCUUUUUUGUUUUGUUUUGUUUUCUUGAGAGAGUCUCACUCUGUCACCCAGGCUGGUGUACAGUGGUGCAAUCUCAGCUCACUGCAACCUCUGCCUUCCAGGUUCAAGUGAUUCUCCCACAGCCUGCUGGGACUACAGGCAUGCACCAUCACACCCGGCUAAUUUUUUGUAUUUUUAGUAGAGACAGGGUUUCACCAUGUUGGCUAGGCUGGUCUCGAACUCAUGACCUCAAGUGCUCUGCCUGCCUUGGCCUCCCAAAGUGCCAGGAUUAUAGGCAUGAGCCACCACGCCUGGCCUUCCAGUUGUGACCUUGUUAGGAUACUGCUUUAAUUCAUUUUCCCAUUGAAAAUAAGCAUGAAAAUAACUGUGCAGUCAUAAUUGUGGUAUUUGCUGUGAAGGAAAGUGGCAGGGCUCUGAGUGUUUAUCGGGAGACCUAACCCAGUCUCAGAGGGAAGUCAGAAGGCUGACUCCCAAUGGGGACUUGAAGGAUGAGUACGAACUAGCUAGGUUAGGGGCAUGAGGAAAUGCUGGGCAUUCUGGACAAACAGAAUGGCAGGUAUAAGAUCUGAGGCAAGAGAAAAAGGCCUUGGUAUGUCCAGAACAUAGAGAUGGUUGAAUCAUGUGGCUGGAGCACAGGGAGCUAGUCUGGGAAUGUGGGAUGAAGUUAGAGCUAGAGGCAUCAGUUGUCUAAACCUUGUUCCCAUCUCAGAAGCUUCAGGCUGGCUCACCAUCACAGCCCCCAUAGUUUGUCUUUGUCAUCAGCUAUAACCUGUGUCUGAGCCCGGCUGUGGUCAAGCAAUCCAAUGGCAUUCCUCAGCUGUGAAGUUAGCCAAAGGAAGGAUGUUAAUUUGCCUUUCCAGAACUCAUGUCUGUCUGUUUCAGCCUAGAUAGUCCUGAAUCUUUUCCUUUGACACCAUUCCAUUUAAGGGUUAUGUUGCAGACACCAGUAAAAGUAGAAAUUCCAAGAAAUGUAUAGCUAUUAAUAUAAAAAGUAGGUGUUGCUUACCACACACCCCCAUGCCAUUAUUCAAGUUAAGUCAGGAACUCCUGCUAUAGAAAUAAGUGGCCAACCAGAAAUACUAGAAUGGACAAACAGUUCCCACAGAUAGCUUCUGACUAUAGGACUCGAAAUGUAAAACCUCUGAUUACACUUAAAAAUAUAGAUAUUUUAAGGCAGUUUUUAAUACUAAGGUAAGUGGGUUUCAUUUUUAGCUGCUACACAUCUUAGUGUUUUGUGUAAGAUUUUGCUUAAAAAAGGGGUUUCAUAACUUAAUUGUGGGAGCAUCCCCAGAGCUUUAUGGAAAAAUACUUUUGAGUUGUCACUUUUUUUGGUACAGGUUCCAUCUGGGGGAAAAAAAAAAGCAGAUAAAAGAGUACCCGGGUCUAAAGUCCUGGGUCCUUAAGUAGCUUUCACCUUCUCCUACCAAAAGAGUGCAGCAAAUCACGUAGCCAACUGCUUUGCAGUACAG